RNAcentral lists this ribosomal RNA (401 nucleotides) under uncultured bacterium. RNAcentral's name for it is "bacterial SSU rRNA". It matches the Rfam family "Bacterial small subunit ribosomal RNA", at positions 355 to 774 of the family's 1533-position model. The record is from RNAcentral.
UUGGGAAUCUUCCACAAUGGGCGAAAGCCUGAUGGAGCGACGCCGCGUGAGGGAUGAAGGCCUUAGGGUUGUAAACCUCUAAAAGAGGGACGAUAAGGACAGUACCCUCAGAAUAAGCCUCGGCUAACUACGUGCCAGCAGCCGCGGUAAAACGUAGGAGGCGAGCGUUAUCCGGAUUUACUGGGCGUAAAGCGCGUGCAGGCGGAUUGGAGAGUUGGAUGUGAAAGCUCCCGGCUUAACUGGGAGAGGUCGGUCAAUACUUCCAGUCUUGAGUGCAGUAGAGGGAAGUGGAAUUCCGGGUGUAGUGGUGAAAUGCGUAGAUAUCCGGAGGAACACCAGUGGCGAAAGCGGCUUCCUGGACUGUAACUGACGCUCAGACGCGAAAGCUAGGGUAGCAAACG